UACUAUUAAAAUUUUAAAAAAAUCAUUGAUACGGCAAAACAAUGAUUCUUUCUUCUUCCCCAAUCGUAUUUUCUCUUCUUCUUCUUUGAUUACUUUCGAUCUCUCUUUUUUGAAGAGGUUGGGCCCAUAAAGGAAAAGAGGAUUUGGAAUGGGAGGAGAAAAUAACGAAAACCAGCUCAAUAGGAGGGAUUGGGAGAAGACGAUGGAAGAUGAGUGGAGAAGAAAAAUCGAGCAAAGGUUCUUUCUCUUCUUUUUUUAUUGGAAUUUUAGGGAUGAAAAAAAGAGAGAUAGGAAAUGAGAGAUUUGAAGAGAAGGUAAGUAGGAAGAGUUCAAUGCGAUGG
Molecule: long non-coding RNA, 341 nt
Filed under: Elaeis guineensis (African oil palm)
Lineage: Eukaryota; Viridiplantae; Streptophyta; Magnoliopsida; Arecales; Arecaceae
Description: long non-coding RNA (EGUI_LNC006022)
Source: RNAcentral